This 24-nucleotide non-coding RNA is filed under the name Cricetulus griseus (Chinese hamster). The record is from RNAcentral. Lineage: Eukaryota; Metazoa; Chordata; Mammalia; Rodentia; Cricetidae.
GCGAGGCCUACCUGGUGGGGCUGU